RNAcentral lists this transfer RNA (74 nucleotides) under Stegodyphus mimosarum. It matches the Rfam family "tRNA". Rfam says of the family: Transfer RNA (tRNA) molecules are approximately 80 nucleotides in length. Their secondary structure includes four short double-helical elements and three loops (D, anti-codon, and T loops). Further hydrogen bonds mediate the characteristic L-shaped molecular structure. tRNAs have two regions of fundamental functional importance: the anti-codon, which is responsible for specific mRNA codon recognition, and the 3' end, to which the tRNAs corresponding amino acid is attached (by aminoacyl-tRNA synthetases). tRNAs cope with the degeneracy of the genetic code in two manners: having more than one tRNA (with a specific anti-codon) for a particular amino acid; and 'wobble' base-pairing, i.e. permitting non-standard base-pairing at the 3rd anti-codon position. Lineage: Eukaryota; Metazoa; Arthropoda; Arachnida; Araneae; Eresidae. The record is from Rfam by way of RNAcentral.
GCCUUUGUGAUGUAAUGGUCAGCACACUCGGCGCGUAAUUCGAGAAGUCCGAGGUUUGAGUCCCGGCGAAAGCA